Molecule: long non-coding RNA, 880 nt
Filed under: Daphnia pulicaria
Lineage: Eukaryota; Metazoa; Arthropoda; Branchiopoda; Diplostraca; Daphniidae
Description: uncharacterized LOC124312542, transcript variant X1
Source: RNAcentral
UAGGGUGCGGUUUAGGGUUUAGAGUUUAGACAUUGAUCCCAAUGUUUUACGCAUGUACGGACAUUUUAUGAUGAAACUCGUAUAUUUACCUCAUCUUGGAAUUCGACGGAAAUGGAGUAAAUGUAUUUGUAUCUGAAACGCCAACCAAAUGGUUGUUUUUCCUAACCACAGACGGCCAAUUACAUGUCUCAGCUAGCUGAUGCAUUGAUGUACUGUCACGCGCGGAAAGUAAUCUACCGAGAUAUUAAGCCAGAAAAUAUUCUAUUAGGGAUUCGUAGAGAAAUUAAAAUAGCCGAUUUUGGUUGGUCCGUACAUGCUCCUUCGUCAAGCCCCCGAAAUGGUAGAAGGGCGCUCUCAUGACGAACGUGUAGAUUUGUGGAUUCUUGGUAUUCUUUGGUACGAAUUCUUAGUGGGAUCACCCCCUUUUGAAGAGGAAAAGCGAGAUCUCACUUACCGCCGUAUUUUCAACUAUUAAUUUUAUCGCAUAAUUUGUCAAUGUGAGAGGCAUUCUAAGCGUUUACAUUUUCCAUGCCAUGAAUUCGUAUGGUAGAGUUGACUUAAAAUUUCCAGCACAUCUCUCUACUGAGCGAAAGACUAGAUUACUAAUUUACUCAAACCACGAGCAGUAACCAGGGGUCGUAUCCCUCUAAGAAAAUUACUUGAACAUAGGUGGAUUCUACAACACCUUCCAGACGAAGUUCGAUCCAGGUUAAUUACCGACGUUCCAGAUAAUGCAACCCACCAAAGCAUAAACUUUGAUAUUUAAUGGCAAUCUACUAACCAUAAAUUUUUAAAGUAAAAUUUUCAAUUUGUAACUUCGAUUCCCGAUUGCUUUUAUCUCUUCUCUCAUUUAUGUAAUACAAUAAAUAAUUUUCAUAAA